CAGAUAGUAGUUUAACUAAAAGAAUUUUGGCUUUGGGUGCCAAUGGCGAGGAAAAUUUUUCCUCCUUUCUGA
Molecule: transfer RNA, 72 nt
Filed under: Boulengerula boulengeri (Usambara bluish-gray caecilian)
Lineage: Eukaryota; Metazoa; Chordata; Amphibia; Gymnophiona; Herpelidae
Description: tRNA-Pro
Source: RNAcentral